Molecule: long non-coding RNA, 291 nt
Filed under: Capsella grandiflora
Lineage: Eukaryota; Viridiplantae; Streptophyta; Magnoliopsida; Brassicales; Brassicaceae
Description: long non-coding RNA (CGRA_LNC000600)
Source: RNAcentral
CCUCAACCGUGACUCCACCUGUCUGCCCGUUCUGUAGAAGCACCAUCGCAAGGUUAGUCGUCGCCCAGAACAACAACAACAACAACGAAAAAAGCAAAACCUUAGACGACGUUGUUGUCGAUCUCGAGGCAAGUGAUGUAAGCUCCUCCAAAUUCAGAAAACACAGAAGAUCAAUAAACCUAGGCGAAGAAAGCAGCAGUUUCAUGGGACUAUCAACCAUCGGAUCGUUCGGACGAAUAACCGGCCGUGGCUCGGGUAGAAUCGCAGCCGACAACGAGCUGAUGGACAAAC